UACGGAGGGUGCGAGCGUUGUCCGGAAUCAUUUGGCGUAAAGGGCGCGUAUGUGGCCCGGUCAGCGUGCGGUGAAAGCUCGGGGCUCAACCCCGAGUCGGCCGUGCGAACUGCUGGGCUCGAGCACUGUAGAGGCAGGCGGAAUUCCGGGUGUAGCGGUGGAAUGCGUAGAGAUCCGGAAGAACACCGGUGGCGAAGGCGGCCUGCUGGGCAGUAGCUGACACUGAGGCGCGACAGCGUGGGGAGCAAACAGG
Molecule: ribosomal RNA, 253 nt
Filed under: uncultured bacterium
Lineage: Bacteria
Description: partial 16S ribosomal RNA
Rfam family: Bacterial small subunit ribosomal RNA
Source: RNAcentral